This 352-nucleotide ribosomal RNA is filed under the name Mantidactylus opiparis. RNAcentral's name for it is "partial 16S ribosomal RNA". It matches the Rfam family "Bacterial large subunit ribosomal RNA", at positions 2080 to 2597 of the family's 2925-position model. Lineage: Eukaryota; Metazoa; Chordata; Amphibia; Anura; Mantellidae. The record is from RNAcentral.
ACGAAAAGACCCCAUGGAGCUUCAAACCCAACUACACCCUUAACUACCACAACCGCACAACCUCUUAGGGCCCUGUAUAGUUGGUUUUAGGUUGGGGCGACCACGGAGUACAACCAAACCUCCGCAAUGGACGGGACCACUCCCUUAUCUAAGAGCCACACCUCUAAGAAUUAAAACACUAACAUAAAAUGAUCCAUGAUCUGAUCAAUGAACCAAGUUACCCUGGGGAUAACAGCGCAAUCCAUUUCAAGAGCCCUUAUCGACAAGUGGGUUUACGACCUCGAUGUUGGAUCAGGGUAUCCUAGUGGUGCAGCAGCUACUAAUGGUUCGUUUGUUCAACGAUUAAAACCCU